GGGGAGUACGGCCGCAAGGCUUAAACUCAAAGGAAUUGACGGGGGCCCGCACAAGCGGCGGAGCAUGCGGAUUAAUUCGAUGCAACGCGAAGAACCUUACUUGGGUUUGACAUAUAGAGAAAUCCUCCAGAGAUGGGGGUCCCGUAAGGGCUCUAUACAGGUGGUGCAUGGCUGUCGUCAGCUCGUGUCGUGAGAUGUUGGGUUAAGUCCCGCAACGAGCGCAACCCUCGUCUUAUGUUGCCAGCACGUCAUGGUGGGGACUCAUAAGAGACUGCCGGGGUCAACUCGGAGGAAGGUGGGGAUGACGUCAAGUCAUCAUGCCCCUUAUGUCCAGGGCUUCACGCAUGCUACAAUGGCCGGUACAAAGGGCUGCGAAGCCGUAAGGUGGAGCGAAUCCCAAAAAGCCGGUCUCAGUUCGGAUUGGGGUCUGCAACUCGACCCCA
This 443-nucleotide ribosomal RNA is filed under the name uncultured Actinomycetes bacterium. RNAcentral describes it as "bacterial SSU rRNA". It matches the Rfam family "Bacterial small subunit ribosomal RNA", at positions 875 to 1320 of the family's 1533-position model. Lineage: Bacteria; Bacillati; Actinomycetota; Actinomycetes. The record is from RNAcentral.